GGAGUCUGGACCGUAUCUCAGUUCCAAUGUGGCCGUUCAACCUCUCAGUCCGGCUACUGAUCGCAGACUUGGUAGGCCGUUACCCUACCAACUAUCUAAUCAGACAUGAGCCCAUCUUAAAGCGGAUUGCUCCUUUUCUGCAUGGGAGAUGCCUCCUUCGCAGCUUAUGCGGUAUUAGCACAAAUUUCUCUGUGUUAUCCCCCUCUUUAAGGCAGGUUGCUCAUGCAUUACUCACCCGUCCGCCACUAAAAUAUACAAAAGCAAGCUUCCGUAUAUCUCCGUUCGACUUGAAUGUGUUAGGCACGCCGCCAGCGUUCAUC
RNAcentral lists this ribosomal RNA (320 nucleotides) under uncultured Ruminococcus sp. RNAcentral describes it as "partial 16S ribosomal RNA". Lineage: Bacteria; Bacillati; Bacillota; Clostridia; Eubacteriales; Oscillospiraceae. The record is from RNAcentral.